RNAcentral lists this ribosomal RNA (305 nucleotides) under uncultured bacterium. RNAcentral describes it as "partial 16S ribosomal RNA". It matches the Rfam family "Bacterial small subunit ribosomal RNA", at positions 505 to 808 of the family's 1533-position model. The record is from RNAcentral.
ACAGCAGCAGCCGCGGGAAUACGUAGGUCCCGAGCGUUGUCCGGAUUUAUUGGGCGUAAAGCGAGCGCAGGCGGUUAGAUAAGUCUGAAGUUAAAGGCUGUGGCUUAACCAUAUUACGCUUUGGAAACUGUUUAACUUGAGUGCAAGAGGGGAGAGUGGAAUUCCAUGUGUAGCGGUGAAAUGCGUAGAUAUAUGGAGGAACACCGGUGGCGAAAGCGGCUCUCUGGCUUGUAACUGACGCUGAGGCUCGAAAGCGUGGGGCGCAAACAGGAUUAGAUACCCCGGUAGUCCCUGUCUCUUAUACC